UCUAUCUUUGACGUCAUAAUGACUUACUUCUGCUCUUGCACUUUCCAUUGAACGAACGUCAAAUCGCCAAUAUGUUUCAAAUUAAAGGUUUGCUAUUUAUAUUUUUUUGAAAGAUAAGACAUAUGCAUUAUGUUUUCCUCCUUAUAUGUUUAAAAUAUGCUUCUUUUGCUUGUUUUCAAUUAUAUUCUCGCGCAUGCUCAAUUCCUCAUAUUUACCAAUCCGUGUCGCCAACACUCUUGUCAGUCUAGACAUCGAUGAUUUUCCCACGGGCAGGUGCGUGAGGAGAGAGGACAGAAAACGAAGCAGAAAUGCCGUUCGGGGUGACGAAAUGAAAAGUUAAUAAUAUUCCUCCACCUCUUUACAUUUUCCAAGCAACAUUUGGACCAAGUCAUCAGUUCCAUACCUCUUGGCUGAAAUUAAAUAAAAUGAACCAUGAGACUUUCAAAUGGCAUGAAGAAUGAAAGUUUUAAAAGAUAUAUGUAAAAGUACCAAUGUAAUGGAUCUCUUCUUUGGCUGAUUGGUAUCCUUUGAUUGAUGAAGUGAAGACACUUGACAUCAACUGGUGGUCAAUAUCCAGCAUCUGCUUCCCAAUACUACAAAUACUACCUUCUGGUGCCUGAUGACCACUUAGCCCUUCCUCAUCCUGGUGCUGUUUGACCAGUGAUUUCUUUAAGUCUCUAUUACCUGUUGA
This is a long non-coding RNA of Saccostrea cuccullata (small rock oyster), 691 nucleotides long. RefSeq lists it as uncharacterized. The transcript has 4 exons. The record is from RefSeq and is a predicted model, not a curated record. NCBI's taxonomy places the organism in Eukaryota, Metazoa, Mollusca, Bivalvia, Ostreida, Ostreidae.